GUCCUUUGCAUCAAUACAUAACGGAUAAUGCCUGCCCAGUGAACUUUUAAACGGCCGCGUUAGCGUGAGCGUGCUAAGGUAGCGUAAUAAAUAGCCUCUCAAUUGGAGGCCAGUGAAUGGCAACACUAAGAACACCUGUACUCUUUAUACUAAAAAAAUUUUUCAUUUGAGUGAAAAGGCUCAAAUAAUGAAGGAAGACGAAAAGACCCCGCGGAACUUUACUUUCAACAUCAAUACCAAAAACAUAAGAUAUAAAAAGUUUGAUUGGGGCAAUCUCGGAACAACCAAGCUUCCGAUAACUCUCUUAAAAGGAUAAAAAACUAAGUAAGGACAUAACAGAAGUUACCCCGGGGAUAACAGCGUAAUCCAACUUGAGAGUGCACAUCGAAAGUUGGGUUUGCGACCUCGAUGUUGGCUUAAGGAUAUCCGCAUUAGUGCAGCCGCUAUGCAGGAUAGUCUGUUCGACUACCGAACCCUUA
RNAcentral lists this ribosomal RNA (479 nucleotides) under Schepmania sp. BOR/MOL 14421. RNAcentral's name for it is "partial large subunit ribosomal RNA". It matches the Rfam family "Bacterial large subunit ribosomal RNA", at positions 1818 to 2598 of the family's 2925-position model. Lineage: Eukaryota; Metazoa; Mollusca; Bivalvia; Unionida; Unionidae. The record is from RNAcentral.